This 642-nucleotide unclassified non-coding RNA is filed under the name Hevea brasiliensis (rubber tree). The record is from RNAcentral. Lineage: Eukaryota; Viridiplantae; Streptophyta; Magnoliopsida; Malpighiales; Euphorbiaceae.
UGUAGGUGCUUGAAUGGCCAGACUUGUACCUGGAAUGGAAAUAGCAGGCAACUGAAAAAUAGCACUUGGAAGAGGGCACCCAGAGAUUAGAACUACCAGUGUCAAAUAUCACAGUGAACUUUUGUGGAGGAGUACCAAUUCCAAUCUCACCAAAAUACUGAGCAUCCAUGUAGUUCUUUAGUGAUACUAUAUCAAUAUCUUCUGCAUCACCUAAAUUCCCACGAAGAUGAUACUUUUUAAUAGAAGCUCGUAAUGACUCUCCUUCCUGGGACUCAAACUGAGCAGCCACACGGUUGUUUUGAUCAAACUUCCUCUUCUUGAGUCCAAUUCUGACCAAUCCAUCAUUAGGUGCAGCAAAUACCAAAGGCAACAAAAAGAGGCAAAGGAAAAUAGCAGCUGUAAUGGGUUUGAGCAUUGUUCCCAUGUUGAUAAGGUUUUGACGAUCGAUUGAGGAAGGAAAGGAGAGACGACGAGAAGGAAAAUUUUCUACCCCACUAACGGAGAGCAGAUAUUUACGUGGAUAAAACGGUCCGGUUCAUCCGGUUCGAUUUUUUUAAAGAUAGAAAUUGACUUUGGCGGGCAACUUGGGACCCUGGAGCCGUACACGUGUGUCUGAUGGGAUAUUUCUUUCUUCUAUGCCUG